ACGCUGGCGGCGUGCCUAAUACAUGCAAGUAGAACGCUGAAAGAGGAGCUUGCUUCUCUGGAUGAGUUGCGAACGGGUGAGUAACGCGUAGGUAACCUGCCUGGUAGCGGGGGAUAACUAUUGGAAACGAUAGCUAAUACCGCAUAAGAGUAGAUGUUGCAUGACAUUUGCUUAAAAGGUGCAAUUGCAUCACUACCAGAUGGACCUGCGUUGUAUUAGCUAGUUGGUGGGGUAACGGCUCACCAAGGCGACGAUACAUAGCCGACCUGAGAGGGUGAUCGGCCACACUGGGACUGAGACACGGCCCAGACUCCUAUGGGAGGCAGCAGUAGGGAAUCUUCGGCAAUGGACGGAAGUCUGACCGAGCAACGCCGCGUGAGUGAAGAAGGUUUUCGGAUCGUAAAGCUCUGUUGUAAGAGAAGAACGAGUGUGAGAGUGGAAAGUUCACACUGUGACGGUAUCUUACCAGAAGGGGACGGCUAACUACGUGCCAGCAGCCGCGGUAAUACGUAGGUCCCGAGCGUUGUCCGGAUUUAUUGGGCGUAAAGCGAGCGCAGGCGGUUAGAUAAGUCUGAAGUUAAAGGCUGUGGCUUAACCAUAGUACGCUUUGGAAACUGUUUAACUUGAGUGCAAGAGGGGAGAGUGGAAUUCCAUGUGUAGCGGUGAAAUGCGUAGAUAUAUGGAGGAACACCGGUGGCGAAAGCGGCUCUCUGGCUUGUAACUGACGCUGAGGCUCGAAAGCGUGGGGAGCAAACAGGAUUAGAUACCCUGAUAGUCCACGCCGUAAACGAUGAGUGCUAGGUGUUAGACCCUUUCCGGGGUUUAGUGCCGCAGCUAACGCAUUAAGCACUCCGCCUGGGGAGUACGACCGCAAGGUUGAAACUCAAAGGAAUUGACGGGGGGCCCGCACAA
RNAcentral lists this ribosomal RNA (912 nucleotides) under uncultured bacterium. Its description in RNAcentral is "bacterial SSU rRNA". It matches the Rfam family "Bacterial small subunit ribosomal RNA", at positions 33 to 928 of the family's 1533-position model. The record is from RNAcentral.